Molecule: ribosomal RNA, 253 nt
Filed under: uncultured bacterium
Lineage: Bacteria
Description: partial 16S ribosomal RNA
Rfam family: Bacterial small subunit ribosomal RNA
Source: RNAcentral
UACAGAGGGCUCAAGCGUUGUUCGGAUUCAUUGGGCGUAAAGGGUGCGUAGGCGGCGCGGUAAGUCGGGUGUGAAAUCUCGGAGCUUAACUCCGAAACUGCAUUCGAUACUGCCGUGCUUGAGGACUGGAGAGGAGACUGGAAUUUACGGUGUAGCGGUGAAAUGCGUAGAUAUCGUAAGGAAGACCAGUGGCGAAGGCGGGUCUCUGGGCCGUAACUGACGCUGAGGAGCGAAAGCAUGGGGAGCGAACAGG